Tympanuchus pallidicinctus (lesser prairie-chicken) is the source of this 711-nucleotide long non-coding RNA. RefSeq lists it as uncharacterized. The transcript is spliced from 4 exons. NCBI's taxonomy places the organism in Eukaryota, Metazoa, Chordata, Aves, Galliformes, Phasianidae. The record is from RefSeq and is a predicted model, not a curated record.
GCAGCGCCCUCGCUUUCAGCUCGGUCCCGCGCCCACCCUCGGCUCGGCGGCGGCUCGUGCCCCGCGCUGGCUCUUGCCAGCCUCUCUCGUGCGUUCCAGCUCUGUGCUGAGGUCCUCAGGGUGUGCAGGGAGCGCCCUCAGAGAGGGAAAAACAAAAAUCAGGCAGGAAUAAGCGGUUCCAGCCCUGCGUGGGAGCUGGGGCUGGCAAACAGAGGCUGCCAGAAGCCAAAUUUGGGAAGAUGGAUACUGAGAAGAGGCCAAAACCAAAAUCUGCACCAUACAGAAAAGUUCAACAGGCAGGUAUCGAUUUCAAAGACACUUUCAUCAGAAGAGAUUUGUCAGCCGUCGGAUGGAAUUUCUGGUCGCGACCAGGAGGAGAUGGCAAGGUUGGAGUAUCAGGUAGCGCCACCGGCGGGGAACUCACCUGGAAUGUGGAAAAUCAAGGUUCAGGCCUAGAGACUUGAACGUGAGAUUUGCAGAUGUAUAACAUUCAAAAAGUCUUGGUCCAAGAGAGGAAUGAAAACACUGCUGCAAUCUCAUCAAAUCUUUGCAAAACUUGAAGCCUGCUUCUUCCACUCCGCUGCCGAUCCUCUUUGCCAUAGAAACAAAUUGCAAAAAAUCCACUGAAUUCUUGGGAACAAACUGUUUCAAGUAAUAUAAUUUGUCAAUAGCUGGGGAAUUUACUGGGUAUAAGGUUCAUUGUUAGUGUAA